This 465-nucleotide ribosomal RNA is filed under the name uncultured bacterium. RNAcentral's name for it is "partial 16S ribosomal RNA". It matches the Rfam family "Bacterial small subunit ribosomal RNA", at positions 338 to 795 of the family's 1533-position model. The record is from RNAcentral.
CCUACGGGCGGCUGCAGUAGGGAAUCUUCCACAAUGGGCGAAAGCCUGAUGGAGCAACGCCGCGUGGGUGAAGAAGGUCUUCGGAUCGUAAAACCCUGUUGUUAGAGAAGAAAGUGCGUGAGAGUAACUGUUCACGUUUCGACGUUAUCUAAACAGAAAGCCACGGCUAACUACGUGCCAGCAGCCGCGGUAAUACGUAGGUGGCAAGCGUUUUCCGGAUUUAUUGGGCGUAAAGGGAACGCAGGCGGUCUUUUAAGUCUGAUGUGAACGCCUUCGGCUUAACCGGAGUAGUGCAUUGGAAACUGGGAGAGUUGAGUGCAGAAGAGGAGAGUGGAAGUCCAUGUGUAGCGGUGAAAUGCGUAGAUAUAUGGAGGAAGACCAGUGGCGAAAGCGGAUCUCUGGUCUGUAACUGACGCGGAGGUUCGAAAGCGUGGGUAGCAAACAGGAUUAGAUACCCUAGUAGUC